Molecule: ribosomal RNA, 617 nt
Filed under: uncultured bacterium
Lineage: Bacteria
Description: bacterial SSU rRNA
Rfam family: Bacterial small subunit ribosomal RNA (bases 1-519)
Source: RNAcentral
CCUACGGGAGGCAGCAGUGGGGAAUCUUGCGCAAUGGGCGAAAGCCUGACGCAGCAACGCCGCGUGCGGGAAGAAGGCUUUCGGGCUGUAAACCGCUUUCAGUAGGAACGAAAAUGACGGUACCUACAGAAGAAGGAGCGGCCAACUAUGUGCCAGCAGCCGCGGUGACACAUAGGCUCCAAGCGUUGUCCGGAUUUAUUGGGCGUAAAGAGCUCGUAGGCGGUUGAGUAAGUCGGGUGUGAAAACUUUGGGCUUAACCCAAAGAUGCCACUCGAUACUGUUCGACUUGAGUUCGGUAGGGAGCGGGGAAUUCCUUGUGUAGCGGUGAAAUGCGCAGAUAUAAGGAGGAACACCGGUGGCGAAGGCGCCGCUCUGGGCCGAUACUGACGCUGAGGAGCGAAAGCGUGGGGAGCAAACAGGAUUAGAUACCCUGGUAGUCCACGCGGUAAACGGUGGUCACUAGGUGUGGGUUUCUAUCAAUGAGAUCCGCGCCGUCGCUAACGCAUUAAGUGACCCGCCGUCGGGUAGGUACGGUCGCGAGACGUAAACCGUAACGAAAGUAGAAGUUAGACGGUCGUGUAGACGUUAGUCCGAACGGACGACGACGAGGGAGGAGG